AUGUGGCUUCAGAACACAGGAAAUGCUGUUUGGUCUCAGCUCGGGUUGCUGUAUUGCGUGGUUCGACCCCUGGCCUGCGAAGAAAGAAGCCUGGAAUCUGAGCAGCCCUUCCCCUCACAGGAGGAGAAGGCCGUUGUCUCCCCACGGGGGGCGCUGAGGGGAGCGUGGAUUUCCAGCCACGUUCCUGCUUGGCUUCGGGCACCUGCUCAGAGCCGCUUUGUCCUGCACCCUUGGCGCCACAAUGAGACGGAAAGUGGGGUUGGCCGUCUUGCCUCUCCUGUGGUUCAUGCCUCAGGCAUCAGUGACAAAGUCAAGAGAAAAAGAAGAGUUGCCAUAAACAAAUCUUUCAAAACCUGGGAGCCGUGCACAAAGACCAUGGACCCCCUGGGCUGCGAGCCCCUCCCCGCCCCGCUCCAUCCUCCACACCCACCGGACGCCUGGCUGUGGCGUGGCGGGCUCUGUGUCCACCUGCGGCCCCUCUGCGGCCCCACCUGGCAGGGGCCCAGGGGUUAGGAUGCAGGUCCCUCUGCGGCGUUGCUGUCGGACUGCAGGCUGGCUUGGAGUGACCUCCCUCUGGCACCCUUCAGGGAAGACUUGACUGCUGUGCAAACCGCCGCCCGGGCCCCUCUGCCUGAGCCAGCCCGUGCAGGUGCCACACCUCCGCCUCCCGCCACCAUCCGUCCAGACCUGGGCCUGCCCCUCCCCCUCCUCCCUCCCCCCUCCUCCUCCCCUCCCCCCCUUCUCCCCCCUCCACCCUUCCCCGCUCCUCUUCAUGCCCAGCCCUCCUCUGUCUGGUCCACCCUCCCUCUGUCCACCGGCCACACUGGCCCCCGGGGGGAUGUGAGCUCUGGGGCCGGGGGAGGGGGGCGCAGGGCGUCUGGCUGCUGCCAUCUUCUUCCUCCUGGAGACUUCAUCCUGCGGAACCCACCCAUCGCUCCGUCCCGCUAAGUGAGCCUGUAGCGACUGUGGGUUGUUCAUGCCACCGGGACAGCCAGUGCCAAAUGUUCUCGGCCCCACGCGGGACCUCCCGAGGGAGAGGCCCUCCCGUGGGGUCAGACUGAGCAAAUGACGUAGAAUUUGGGAGAAAAUAAGCUCUCCCAGUCCUGUUUCCCCCUCAUCUAACUG
Molecule: long non-coding RNA, 1125 nt
Filed under: Sus scrofa (pig)
Lineage: Eukaryota; Metazoa; Chordata; Mammalia; Artiodactyla; Suidae
Description: lncRNA (ENSSSCG00070027338.1)
Source: RNAcentral